UGCUCAGUCUAAUCGUUCCUCAAAAGUUUC
Molecule: non-coding RNA, 30 nt
Filed under: Mus musculus (house mouse)
Lineage: Eukaryota; Metazoa; Chordata; Mammalia; Rodentia; Muridae
Source: RNAcentral